UACAGAGGUCUCAAGCGUUGUUCGGAUUUACUGGGCGUAAAGCGCGCGUAGGCGGUUUUGUAAGUCGGGUGUGAAAUCCCCAAGCUUAACUUGGGAACUGCAUUCGAGACUGCAUAGCUAGAGUAUGGGAGAGGGAAGUGGAAUUUCAGGUGUAGCGGUGAAAUGCGUAGAUAUCUGAAGGAACAUCAGUGGCGAAAGCGACUUCCUGGACCAAUACUGACGCUCAUGUGCGAAAGCGUGGGGAGCAAACAGG
RNAcentral lists this ribosomal RNA (253 nucleotides) under uncultured bacterium. RNAcentral's name for it is "partial 16S ribosomal RNA". It matches the Rfam family "Bacterial small subunit ribosomal RNA", at positions 524 to 776 of the family's 1533-position model. The record is from RNAcentral.